CUCAAGAUGGAGAAGAAGAUGGAGAAAGUUAAUAAUUGUAAUGACUGGAUGAAAACUCCUCAUAUAUUAGAGCAAAGUCGACUCCCAGCUCUGCUUGUUCAUGUCCUGAAGUGUCCUUUCCUGACACCGAACCUGAGAGUUGUUCCCAACAGCAAGCAGC
Long non-coding RNA from Salarias fasciatus (jewelled blenny), 160 nucleotides. RefSeq lists it as uncharacterized. The transcript has 4 exons. The record is from RefSeq and is a predicted model, not a curated record. NCBI's taxonomy places the organism in Eukaryota, Metazoa, Chordata, Actinopteri, Blenniiformes, Blenniidae.